Molecule: ribosomal RNA, 493 nt
Filed under: uncultured bacterium
Lineage: Bacteria
Description: partial 16S ribosomal RNA
Rfam family: Bacterial small subunit ribosomal RNA
Source: RNAcentral
GACGAACGCUGGCGGCGUGCUUAACACAUGCAAGUCGAACGGUGAAGGGACCGGUUUUUGCUGGUUCUGGAUGAGUGGCGAACGGGUGAGUAACACGUGAGUAACCUGCCCCCUUCUUCUGGAUAACCGCAUGAAAGUGUGGCUAAUACGGGAUAUUCUGCGCCUGCUGCAUGGUGGGUGUGGGAAAGAUAUUGUUUCGGUGGGGGAUGGGCUCGCGGCCUAUCAGCUUGUUGGUGGGGUGAUGGCCUACCAAGGCGGUGACGGGUAGCCGGCCUGAGAGGGUGGACGGUCACACUGGGACUGAGACACGGCCUAGACUCCUACGGGAGGCAGCAGUGGGGAAUAUUGCACAAUGGGCGCAAGCCUGAUGCAGCGACGCCGCGUGAGGGAUGGAGGCCUUCGGGUUGUAAACCUCUUUCGCCAGUGAAGCAGGCCUGUCCCUUUUGUGGGUGGGUUGACGGUAGCUGGAUAAGAAGCGCCGGCUAACUACGUG